GUUUUACGAGAGUUGGAGCCACAGGGAAGUCAGCGGUCUUCACGUUUGGAAUGCAGAAGCUUGAGGUCACCAGGAAAGCCUUCUCCUGUGAUGGACACAGAGGGGUGCAUGUGUCUAAUAGUAGUUGGCAACUGGAUAUGGAGAAUGUAAACAAGAACUUAUGCGGGAUGCAGAUUAAACGAGGGAAGUUCAUACACUUCCAUUUAUCUGUAACAAAUGAUGCUGAGUUUCAGCAUGGAUGAUGAUAAAAACUCCGAAACUAUCAUCUCUCAAACAAUCUCAUUGCUGUCCUCUAAAGGUUUGCCCACUGGGAUGUUGAUAUCCACUGAGCCCCUAAAAAUCAGCUGAUAGCAGUGUGAGUAAGUUCUGGGGUGCCAAAACCUCACUAAGAAGGUCACAUCUGGAAGAACUGAGAAGCGAACCCCACAGAAUUCAAGAUUGACCUGUGGUGGACUCCACUGUGUUUACUGCCAAUUUGGGAUGAUGCGUUGCUGUAAAGUGCUACCAAUAAAUGGGAAGUUUGGGCUAGCAGGAAAAGAACAGCAUGAUGCAAAACUAUACUCAGACCGGAGUGCUUACCAGUGUGUUUGCCAGACAGAAGGAGGUUUAUUUCCUUCUCAUAAGAGCUGCUAACUGCACUGCAGUGGUGGAAAUGACCGUGAACUUCAGAAUUCAAGAAGGCUGUUCUAAAAAAUACUGCAAAAAGUGUGAAAAUGCUCUAAAAGUAUAGCUGGUCAUCCUAAGUACAAAUGAGAGAUCUACAAGGUGUUAUUCCACCAGAGGAAGAUCCUGUACUCUGCAGUCCCACUACGGACCUGACUGUGGCAGAGGAGGAGCAGCCAUCUACUUACAGGUCAAUUCUGAAAGGGUACUCUGAAGCGCUGGAACAUUUAACUCACAGUGAAGAAAUACUGCCCAGCUUCUGUUCAACAUCAUCGUCAGCCGCUUGGUUGGGCGAUUCUGGCCAGUGCACAAGGAACUGUAGGAGCCCUUCAGUGAUUACAGGACACCACAGAUGGCAUCUGCAAGGCUGAACCAUGGGGAUGAUGCUGCCGUUUUUGCAGGCAAAAGCUAUAGAAAAGUGAAGCAGGAGUCCCAAGAAAAUGCCUGGACUCAUGAGAGCUAAUCACAGCAGGGUCAUAGGAGGCAGAUACGUUUGCAGGACUGAUGCAGAGCUCCAUUGCUCGAGGUGGAUCCUGAGGAAUAGUUGCUAUUUAUUGCAGCCCAAUGUAUUGGAAUUCAAAACCAAGGAGAUCGAUCAUCCUCGCAUCAGAUCUGAGGGCUUCUUAUCAAAUAAAAAAGCCUGCAGCAGCAGAAAGCAGUCCUACCUGCCAAGAUGAAGUGAAGACACAAAAGUGUUUUGAAGAAACAAAAUGGGAGACAGCCAUAGGACACAGGUCUCCUUAUAGUCAUGCCAAAACGUUUGGUACAUAGUAUGCAUUUUUUGCAGUGUGGUGGAACAAAGCAAUUAUUUCACAGCUGAAGGAAAACCAGAAGAUAUUUAAAAAUGGAAAGUUCCCUUCCCAAGCCAUAAUGGAUGACGACGGUAGUAGAAGUAAUAUAUUCAGAGGGACCAAAACAGGAUAACAAUUUUUCAGAAGCUGAAGAAAUAUAUGAGGGAAGAAGAGAGAUUGAUACAGCAGCAUUGGAACCAGCUUUGUCCUUGGAUUGCAAGGGAAUGGAGAAAUGAGGUGUCUUCACAGAUCUUUCUUAUGUGACCAAGUGGCAGAAAAUGCUGCAGAAAUCUACUUCAGACAGUUAAGUAUUCAGGUUACUGAAAGCUGUGUUUACUAUUUUUAUAUCUAUGGUUGUGAGCUAAGUAUUUUUUUUUUUUUUUUUUUUUUUGCCUGUUCACAUCCUUGCUGCCUGCAGAGCUUCCCAGUUGCUAGGCUGUGUUUAAUAUAUUAUUUUCCCAUUGAGACACCUAUGCUCCCUGUCACAUCUCUGUUGUCUCUUUUCAGUACUGUAUGAGCCCCAUCUCUGGCUUCUCUAAAUGUUAAAGACCUCUCUUCCAGUUAUUUAUACAGUAUUUAAAAUACGUCCCUUAGUAAUCUUGACUUCAUCAGCCUGACCCCUCUGAACCACCAUUCGCCCUUGGUUCAUCAAAUCAGGUUCAGCCUUCUUGCCUUUAGCUUAGGACAUUUUAAUUCUUUUUUUCUGCAUAAUGUCUGUUUCUGUCUCCUAUAUUGAGAUUUAUUAAAAUUAUUUAGCCAUUUUAAGAUGAAACCGUAUGUCUAGUUGAGUGUUCAAAAUCAGUGACUACCUAAUUCCCCCUGAGACUAACACUCAUUCAUUCUCCUCAUUAACUUAGCAAGAGGACUUAGAGUCCAGCAUUGCAGAUUGUCUCCAGGCUUUCAUGCCUGAACUUCUCUUUCACUGUUGGGGGCAUAGAUCCUUCCUCUUCUGAGGACAAAGAAAUUUGGUGUCAUCCAGUCUGUGGAGAAAGUUUGCUGCAACUUGGAAUGCUGUUCUACCAAACAAUUCCUUUCUUCCAUCUGCGACACAAUUUUUUAGGGUUUUCCGAUUAAUCCAAAUACUGAAGAUAUUAUAAAGCCACAGAAACUGCUUUAGGCCAAAGAUGGCAAUUACAGCUAAGAGCUAGAGCUAACUGAAAGGCUUCCUAUUUUUUAACAUUUUUCUGUGGCUUUUAAGAUCUUUUUGUGUCACUCUGGAAUGAAAACCAAGUGCACAAAGACUUUUGGCAAAAAUGGGACUUUGCAAAAUGUUCAUCUUUGGCUCCAGAAACCGUUUUUCUUCUACUCUCAUCUUCUAGGAAGCCUAUUGUAGAGCUUAGAAAUAAUCCUGUCAGAACUUCAUCAAAGCCAGUAUUUGUUUUCAAAAUGUUCUAGUUUUGGCAUAAUAUUAGUUGGAGAAGAAAGUAUUUAAUCCAAAAUUUUCUGACUAGUUCCAUAAAUGUCAUUACAUUAAUUAGGUACAUAAGUAACAGUAGCUGAAUUAGCUAUGUUUACACAUGUCUAGUCAUCUGAAAGAAUAUGAAGUCAGACAGGACUCAAGGGUUGGCUCAGUAAGUGUCAUAAAUUUUAGUAACCCCUGAUCUUGAUGCUCAGUAGAACACAUCUGUGAACAAAACUAAUUGAAACAUCAAGAAAAAGUCAAAACAAAUGAAAAGCAUUAGCAAAAAAAAAAAAAACAAAAAAAAAAACAAAAAACAUUUUUAUUAAUUUAGAGUAAUAUGUUAGGGUGAGUGGCAAAUUAAAUCGCUAUCCAAGUCCUGACACAGUUUUUUAUUUGAAACUAUAAUGUGAUUAUUGAUCAAAUGAAUUAAUUCUAUUUUGAUGGUAAUAUUAGCUUUUAAGUAACACAUAAACCUAAAAAUAGUUUAAUACAAGGCUUUCAGGGUCAUCAUCCUCCAAUAUUACUGUAAUCAGGAAUAGUUCCAAUGAAUAUAAUUAUGUUGUAUUCAUGAUACGAUAAAGGCUAUAUAAUUGAAAUCAAAUUUAGAGUUUUUUAAGGUUUUUAUUCAUUAUCUGAUUAGCCUACUACCUCAUAUGAAAGUAGUCAAGUCUUCUGAAUCUUACUCAUGCUGAGUGAAGACAUAUCUGGAUAUCGUGGAUAUUUCUGAGCCAGUUACUAUCGUACUCAUAUACAGUUUCUUCUGUAGUUUCUUUCUGGUUUUGUGUGUGUGCAUGUGCAUUUAUUUCAUAUGACUAAGAACCUCUAUCUAUCUGAAGAAUUGCAGGCUUUGGUUGCUAUUUCUCUACGGAAUGACUGGGAUGGUAUAUGAUGGUGCUUUGCAAAAGGAGCAGAAAUAAGUUAGCUUGAUGAAAUUUGUAGGAGAUGGCAGCAUCUGCUAACUCCAAACUCAGUCCUUGUGUUUGCUUUCGGUUCUUUUGAAACUAGUUUCUUGUGAUGUAUUUUAAAAUACAUAUUGUAGUACAGUUUUUCUCUAAAGCAUGCACUAUCAGAGAAUCACCUCUGAUGUAGAGUUGUCUUUUCAGACUUGCGGAACACAUUUCUUGUUUCUUAGAAUCUUUUAAAAUGUUGGUGUCUAGUACGACCCAAUGCACUGAAAUAUCUUGUAUAUAAUGCUAUUUUCUAAUGAACCGUGAUUCUCUGGUUCUGUCAAGAGUCGUGCUCAUAUUAGUAAAGGCUAAAGAGAGUACCAUUAUGUGUCUAGCAGAGAUAGUCCUUAACAGACUUGUCAAGUCUUAAGCAGUGUGCAUAAAAGAUGAAGCAUCUUGUUACAUCUGAUACCUCCAACUCAAGUGCUCCUAGGAAGUCACUGCCUUCCUCCCUUCUCCAGGACCAUGCAGGCCAGACAUGGCUUCUCACAUCACUCAUGGAGGGCUGGCUCCUUUGCUGCAGUCAUCUGCCAAACUCUUGUUACACUGAGAACCUCACAUCAGAUUAAAAGUUUCAUAGAGAUAUUCAGACAUCAGUCACUCACACCACAUCUCCUGCCCCCACAGCAAUACAACUGUAACCCCCCAAGAACUCUACAGAAUUUGACUUUGUAUAGAAAUUAAUAUUGAUUAGGUAGCACAACUGAAAAAACUUUCUAAAGUGUGCAGUAACAUAUAAAUUAGAAUUCUGUCCCUCCACCAUGUUCUGAACUAACCAUUUUCUGUUGAGAGUGAAGCCUGAAUGGAAUUAGCACUCACAACACUAUGCAGAGCAUAGUUUCAGAUUAAUUUAUAUGAUAUGAUGAUGAAAAUAAAGAAGACACCGACCAAAGUCUUCAGAAAUCCUAUGUUGAAAUAAGGAAAUACCUUUCCAUUUUAAUAAUUGUUGAUAUGGUCAGUGUCAGCUUUUUUAUACAGUAAAGGUAUGAAAGUCUGUGUUGUGUGAUUAGACAUUAAGCACAUUCAUUGAGGGACGAUUUCAUGGAGUCCCUGAUAUCAGUGGAGCAGUGGCAGCUGUUGGGCUUAACUUGGCCCAGGUUUAAGUACUUUUUUAAUUUGAAUAUGUUGGAGUCUAAAGUAGGAAUGAUCAUUCUUACUUUUCUUAUUCAUUCCAUUUUAUAGGGGCUUAAGAAACUAGGGGAAUCAGGCCCUUUGUGUAAUACAUAUCGUCUUACAUGAUUUCCAAUGAAGGAUAUUUUCAAGUAGGAGCUUAAGCUUAAAAAAAAAAAAAAAAAGAUUAACUUAAUUACUCUUGAGAUAUGGUAGAAUUCCAGUUGGCCACCUGAAUAAACAUACAAUUUUAUCAUUUUUUUCAGUGUUUCUGUGCUGCAGGAGUACAAAAGUACAGAUGCAUCUCAUGAGUAUAUAAUAAAGAGAAAAUAAGCUACCAUACCCUUUUCAAAAGAACUAAUCAAGUACUAAAAGGAAAAUUAAUGCAAAUAAAAUAUUGAUUAAGAACUAAAAGGAUUUUAAUUAUAUUACUUUCAGAAAUAAUUUAAUUUAACCCAAACAGACAACUAAGAGCAGAUAUUUCGCCUUAGCAUUUUUCAGAUUGCUAAUUAAAAUUUCUAGGAGGAAAUUCAAGUUUAGUGACUGGAUUUUAAAGAUAAAUAAUGCUUGCUUCUUUUCAUAAUAGUUUUAUAAAGGUUUACAUAGUGCCAAAAUAUAAUACUGCAUGCACAUUUUUUUUAAAAACAAUCAGAUAACCUGGAUGCUCCAUACAACCACUGGGGGUAUCGAGCACUCUUACAUUAAGAAAACUUGAAAAUUAAGUGUGUUAAGGUUAAAUAUCUGUCAUAUGUUUUUUAUGUAGAUUUAUAUCUACAUUGUUUAUGAAAUUCUUUGGAGAUAAUUGCUUUUUGGUAAGAUAAAGGCAAUUAUAGUGAUAGAGCACUCUUUGUGCUUCCAUUGCCACUGAGUAGCAAUUUUACUAUUUAUCUGAAAAGAGAUGUAUCUGAUUCUUUAUUCUCUGCCAUAAUGACUUGAUCCAAAAUCCAGUGAAGUAAAUGGAAAUUGCUCAUCACUCUAUAAUUUUGUAUAGCAUUUGGCUUUCAAUGCCACUGCCUACUUUACAUUGUAUUAUUUAUAAGACUGCUGAUCGCUUACAUAUACACCACGAAAUGGAAUGGGAAUGCAGUAAUACAGAGGCACAACAUUUGGAAGCUUUCUACAAAGAAUCUUUUACAACUACAAAUUCUUCACAGAGUAUUAAGGCAAACUGCUCAGAAUUUAAUUAAGCUCCUUUCAUCUUCUUUAGAUGCAGAGUGCUAAAUUAAAGAGAAAAAGAUGAUACUGAGCUACCUGUCCAAACACUUUAGGCAAAAAAAGGUAUAAUUAACAGUCCUUAACAUUAGAUUAGGGAGCAGUAUCAGAAAAUCCCCUUUAUGCCAAGACAGAGGGCUAGAACAUGCCAUGGGGACAUAACAAGAUUCAGAACCACUCUAAAGAAAAUUGUUACACAGAAGAAUCACGUGUCCCAUUAACCAGUGCUCCCUCUCUUGGGCCACUGUAUGUACACAUCAUAAAGCAUGUGACAUACAACUUCUAUGCAAUUUGAAACAUUUCCUAAAAAUUAUGCAAUGCAUGUCUGUGCUACUAGUCUCACUUUGUUAGUCUGCUCACUAGUCUCACUGGUCUCAAUUUUGAAAUUUUGAUUCAGUUAUAUCCAACUUUUCAACCAACUUGACAAGAGGAUUGAGGGGGUCUCAAAAUAUGAAAAUCAGAAGAGAUAGAAAAUCCCACAGAGCCCCUAAUAAUCUGCAGCACACUUUCGUGAGUUGCUAAGUAAUAGGUAAUCUAUAAAACGCAGCAAUGUUGCAACACCAGUCUAUGCAAAGCUUUGGUUUGGUCUCACUUCAUAACACUAGAAACUUGGAAGCACAUAUCUGAGGAAACCAGGCUUCACUACACUGUUGCUUAUGGAAGUAAUUCCUUUUAAGAGAUGAAUAGUAAUUUACACAUUAUUGGAUUAUCUAAUCAACAUAAAAAUGAUUUUACUUGAACACAGGGAAGCUUAGGAGUUUGUCCUCUCCAUAGGCUUUGUCAGAGAUGUAUUAUUGUGCUUGAUGGACUUGAACUGAUAGGGUUGCUUCUCUGUUCCUUUGGCUUAGUCAUGAACAAACAAAAACUAAUUUUGGCCACUCAGCAUUCUGUGAACCAUACAAUCCUCUGCACAUGAUACUUCUGCAAGAGUAAGCUUUAAAAACGAAACUCUUGUUCUCCGUAGGCACUAGAGAUGCAAAUUUGGUGGGACAGAAUCUGAAGGCUAUCUGUCUUCUCAGUUACCCUUUCUGCAACGUAAUAUUUCCUUUGCACUUUGAAGUGGUUGUAUUUAAGCUCAGUUGUGUACGUACAAAAUGAUCUCUGACGAUGAAAGGUAAUAUGAAACGAAAGAAAGACUUUGCAACAUGAAAGGCAUGAAAGAGGAAGAGAAGUAAAGGAGAUGCACUGUUGUUCACCAUUAAUCAUUUCAGCUGGCUACACCUACGUUAAAAAUGCAUGUGCAUGUAUUUACACAACACACAAACAUGCAACGAUGCAAACAGUACACUGCAUGUUUGUUAUGUACAUUGAGUGCAUGUGCGGCUACAACAGAAGUAAAUGAGAAUGAUGCUGAAACAUGAGGUGUAAGCUAAAGGGAACGUUUGAACGGCUGGAUGUUCAGCGAUGUAUGGAGCUGACAUUUGCAAAUCUAAGUUAUAUAUUCUGUUUUCAUUUCUCGACCCUGUCAGCUAAGCAAUCCUUCCACGAGACAGGAAGAAGGAAGAAGGGACAUAAUCCUGAGAGAGCCGAAUGAAUAUAUAUGUUUGCAAUUUCCCUUGAAAUCUGCACAGAAAAUAGGAGUCAACCAUAAAUUCAAAUAAAUCACUGCAAAGACUCACUGACAGAUUCUUUCCAUGCACCUAACGCAGCAAUUACAGAGUCUGGUAAAACUGAGACAGAAAUUGAAAACAGGUUAUUCAUAAAGAAACAAGACGAACCUGCCAGAAUCCUGCUGAUCUAUCAAGCUAAAGAAAAUACUGGACAUCAGCUGCCUCUUAUAGAAAUUCUUCUCUAGUCUGUGAUUCCAUGAAACUGCUUCAUCUGCACACUGCUCAACAGAUCGAAGCUCAGCUUCCGUACUUGGAAGCUUCUGAUGCUUUUGACUUAUUUCCUGGAGAAGCAAUAAACUUGGAGAGCCAUGUUCUUGUUCCUAAUUAUAUAAGAAUUUUACUGCAGGAUGUGGCAAGAAUAUUUUCCUUACUGCAGAGUGUUACAGCUGCAGUCACCAACAGCAGGAUUUCUGUAUACUUGCUCUCAGUAGAUCACUCAAAAUCUACAGUGGAACAAGAGUUACUUGGCCUCCAACAAACAGCUCUAUUUCACUUUCACUGUUAAUUCUGCAAAAAGAUGAGACUCAGCUGUGUGAUCUAUGCUCGUGGGGAUGCAAAGUUUGGAUGCAAAUUUGACAAAACUGAAGAUGGAUGUCUUCUAUUUACAGAAUUACCAUUCCAAUUAAACAACACUUAUUGCCAUUAGUUUGACAUCAGUUCUCUGAGAUUAAACAGAUUCUUGAUUAGGCACGUCCUGAACAAGUGCAAUGCACUGUGCAAGUGUUUUAAUAUUAUGCACCAGUGGAUAUUUUGAAUUGCUCAAUUAAACAAUUCCUAAAUUUAAAAUUUAAAAAUAAAUAAAUAAAUAAAUAAAAGAAGAGAGAAAACUACCCCACAAUGUACAAAAGAAAAGUUAUUAUAGCAUGAUGGCACUUCCUUUGGAGCAAAUGGCAUUGAAAAGCUUACCAGACUAAGAUGUACACCUAUGCAAGAUUUACAUUAUGCAAAAUAAUAUCCUAACAGUGGCAGUACAGGAAGACAGUAUGAGCAAAUCAGUGCUUAACAAGCUAAUCUAUUAAACACGUUACUUAUGACUUCCAACAGUUUUCAAGCAUGUAAGAUUUUUUUUUUUAAACCUCUGGACAAGAAUAUCUCCAUCAUUUUAUAACAAUAUUAUGAUAUUAUUAUUAUGACAGUGUGACGUGUACUCUCCCUCAUUUUCAUAUGCUUUAUUGUAAUAUUUUCUCAUUUUCUCUGACACUGAUUAUUUUAGUUUACAGUCACAGCCAGAGCACUUGUAAAACUAAAAAUAUUUGUUGUUCUUUAUCACAAUACAGAGAUUAAGUGUAUUUGAAUCCAUCUCCUCUGACAAUCAUCAGCUGAGGAAAAUAGAUCAUUUUUACCUGAUGCACUGAUUAUAGACUGGGUUUCAUAAAACAGCAAGGAAUGUAAUGACCUUUCAACCAUUCUUCAUUGCAGAAGAAAUCAUCAAGUUCUUUAGACUCCAGCAGAGCAUUCAUAAAUAGUAAUGCUUAUUUAAGGUAAUUCAAUGUGCAAUAAAAGAGACAUAGAGAAGAAUCCCCAUUAGAUUGAAUAAACAGAAGGGAGUAAACUCAUGCUGUGUAUUUUUUCAUUUCUAAAUAAUUAUUUAACAUAAUCUGUACAAGAAUUUGAGCUAUCUUCAUUCUCUACUGCAAUACAAUGUAGAUUACUAUAGGAUUGUAAAUAUUGGUCUUCUAAAACUGACACUCACUGUUAUUUAGGGUAAUCAUCCUCCACCCAUCCCCAACCUGAUUAAAGUUUCUUCAGUCUUCCAGCCAUCCCCACCAACUUGGAUGCUUCAGUUUGUGGAUCAUGCACCAUUACUUUAUCAGAAUAAUGCUGAUUUUCACAACUGAACCAAGCAAAUUAUUUGAUAUCUGAUUAAUGAUUCCAUCAAAAUGGAUCUUAUUUCUCUGUCUCAUCAUAAAAUAGAAUUAAUAUUAAGAAAUGUCUGAUUACAUUCGUAAAGAACUACCCAAAUGAACUGUUGAUCUGGACUCUAUAGAAUUCAAAUUCUCCAUACCAUUCUCUCCAUGAUCCUGCACUUCAUGGCCCAAAUUUUCUUCCACCUACAUUAGACUUCCCCUAGGAUAACUACACAGACUUUACUGGAAAUAUGCUGGUAUAAAUCACAGAUAGCAAGAGAUGGACUCUAAAAGAUAUUUAGAAAAGAAAUUGAAGUUCAUUUGACUUUUUAAUAAGAAUAAACAAAAACCCCAAAAUAACACCUCCACUCUAGCUCUGAAUCCCAGCUCUUGAAACAGGAUGUUAUCAAUUCCUUUGAUAAGAAAAGAAAAGAAAGCUGAAUAAACCUAUUAUCUUUUCUGUGUGCCUAUUUUCGCUUUGAUGUAAAAUAAAUAAAAAAUGAACUGACAAUUCUAAGAUAUGAAGACACCAUAUUGUUGUCACUCUGUGUUCUUACAAAUCUGAUUCAUUCAUGCCGUUUAAGCUGCUGAAGCCUUUGAAGUUGGAAAAUACUACCACAUGAACUUCUAGCAUUGGUAAUUAAGACAUAGUGUGGCAAAUCAAAGGGGACGUGCUACCUAGUGUCUACAGUUCCUUCCCCCAAAAAAGCAAGCUGAGAGUCAUGAUAAUAAAUCAAUUGGUUCUGCCUUUCAGUAGGAAAAGGCCUGUAACUUGUUAUAUUAUAACUCAAUCCCAUCUUGUAUCCAAGAUCAAUUCCUC
This 10402-nucleotide long non-coding RNA is filed under the name Gallus gallus (chicken). Lineage: Eukaryota; Metazoa; Chordata; Aves; Galliformes; Phasianidae. The record is from RNAcentral.